CAACCCCCGUGGAGGUUUUUACGUCCUAAAAAAAAAAAAAAAAAAAGCCCAGAGCAGAUUAUUCGGUAAAGACUGCAAAGGCGGAGGCAGAGGGGAGAAAAGAGGUCCCGAAAGCCGGGAUAAGCUUCGGCAUUAGAGCUUUGGCCUGCUCAGCAGGCAGAUUCCAAAGCAGGGAUGCGAGUCCCAGCAACAGGCCAGCCAUUGGCACGGAGGCAAAAUGCUGGCUCGUGAUUGGCUCUUGCUGCAUGCAGGAUGGAAGUAGAUCUCCUGGAAGGGUGGGGCGGGGCUGAGCCGCGGCCCUGCCUAGCUCACAUCCGGGUACCUGGGCAUCCCGAAAUGGCCAGAGGUUGGGGAGUGGUCACUCUACGAUGCCUGGCAGCACAAUCCUUCGUCUGAAGUCCAGGUGUUUGUGGGGGGAGAGGGGGUACUCAAGACACCCAGAAAUGGAGAUCUCAGAUUGGGUGGGCUGGAGGUUGCUACUGCCAUCUGGGUCUGGGCGUAACCUGGAGGCUCCCUGAAGCGGAUUCCCGCACUUAACAGGGACAGCUGCAGGACCCACAGUGUGCGCCAGGAGGAGACAGAGGACGACGGUGCUGGAGUCCCCGAGGGUUAUGGGGAACAGAUCCCAGACUUGGGCCAGGAACACUCCUGAAUCCCAGCACCCACCAACUCCAGGGCCCUGCAUUCAGCCUCAUUCCGUUUUGUAACAAGGCUCUCCGUGUGUUGGCCGCCCAGGCUGGCUUUGAACUUGAGACCCUACGUCAUCAUCCAGGAUGCUAUGCGCCUCUUGGUCAUUAUAUUCUAAAGAAGCUAGAGGUAGAGGUACCAGCCGGUAUUCGCGGCGCUCAGGCGGUUGCCCAAGCAGGAUGGUCUUCAUUUGAAACAGCCUGAGUGACAGAGACUAGACUCCAUCUCAAAAGAUAAAACCCAGAUCCCUACCCUCGGGACCGAGCACAUGCCGCUGGGCCUCAACUCAGGCCCAUCCAUCCCCUUAAACACUUAUGAUACGGAAACGUCGACAGAACCAUCAAAAGGGAGAUGUGCACCCGAGUCCAGAGGACCCAGCUACUACGUAAGGGACCCUCGAGGUGACUGGAAUACCGCUUUUGUUUUUCUUAAGUGCUAGGACUGAACCUGGCCUUGAGCAUGCUAGGCCAAUGCUCUAUCCACUAAACUACAUGUAUCCCCACUUCUUAUGUGUGUUUUUAUUUUCCCCCAGAAGUCUGGGAACUUGCUAGCCUCAACCUCACAGAGCUCUCCCCCAGCCUCUCCAUGCCAGGUGCUGGGACUAAAGGCGUGUGCCACUACAUUUGGUCCACUUCUUGGGUUCUUGAGACAAGGGUCUCACUCUGUAAUACAGGCUGACCCUGAAUUUAUGAUCCUCCUGCCUCAGACUCCCACGUACUGGGAUCACAAGUGUCACCCACCACACUCAACUUGCUCUGUGUGUGUGUGUGGUGCUGAGACAAGCAAGCGCUCUACCCCCAGCUACACCCCCGCCCUUGAUAUCUAUGUACUGUCACAGCCCCCACGGCACCACCCAGCCUCAUUGCUGAGUGGGGGUGGAGGACGCCCACUUCCAAUCAAACCUUUAAAAACAAAGCAGUUAAACCCUAUUAAAUGAAGCUAGGUAGCGCUGACAUCAGAUCUGUACGUUUAUUUUGCUCAAUGUACGACGGCUACAUAAUGACUCACAUUCAUGAAUAUUCCAUCACUGAGGAAAACUGCUAACAAUGGUCCGUGUGCGAAAUAAUUCCUUAGCGAAACACGGAGUUGGGGGGAAAAAAAAUCACUUGAUUGGACCUUAAAAAUAGCUCACUGCAUAACAUGACGAGGAAGCACAGAGGCGCAUUCAGAGAACGUCCGCGGCGUUCUCCUACACUGUUAUAGUUAUUAAUUUCACCGUGACAAACACCAGACAUUAAGAGUAAGCUAACACUGGUGUUUCUUUUGUCCCCUCCCCCCUGAAAAACAAAAUAUAGAACUGCAUGUCACUAUAGCAACAUCCAAAACAGAUCAAUUUGUUACAAUCACUAUUUGGUAAAGCAAACUUUACCCCUGAAAGGAAAAAAAAAAAUUAAAUUAAAAAAAAAAAGUUUAAAAAAUUUUGAAGUCUUAGUUUUUUUUGUUUUUUUGUUUUUGUCAUAGGGAUACAUAACACCUACAGUAUAAGUUAAUAAAUGUCAAGCUACCGUAUAGAAAUACAACACCAGCAUGCACAAUACUGUAUCAAUAGGAUGGAGGAGCAACCGUGGUACUGGAGGCAGCGUCCUAGGCAGGUGCGCUUCUCACCAGGAAAGGAAAGGAGAAGAAACCAUCCAAGCUCACACAUCAGCUCUCCCCUCUUCAGUUCUACCCUCUUACAUGAUUUUUCUAGAACACAGCCAGGGUCAAGGCUGAAAUUUAAAGAGAGACUAGGUUUUGCAAUUCCAGUAGGUCAUUUCCGAACAGUACAAGCGGGACAAGGACAUGCUUACUGCGGACACAGAGACAAGCUAAGCGAAGCCCCACCGUCCCCUUUGGCCAUGGCUCUGGCGGCCAAGCUUCCUCUGCUCGCCAGAGCGGUUCUUUCGUGGGCCUCGGUUAGUGGGUCCUUACACACUAGCAAGAGGGGCCUCUGAAGAAAGGCAUGCUGGGACUGUGUAGAGGGCAGUCAUUCUACAGCCAUACUACCAGCAUCCUGUCAGGAGGACUCACUUAAGUGGGAGCUUGGUUUUGGUGAGAGAAGGUGGCUGGCUAGGUCUUUGAACACGAGGAAAGCAAGUUUGGGGCGUGACCCAUCUUGGGAAUCCACCCGACCAUGGAUCCUCUAGAAGACAGAAACUGUACACUCCGCAUGCAACAAGGCAUGCUUAUGGAUAGAUUUAUCCAGUGAGAACGAGGGACCUAGGGCUAAGUGAGACGGACCAUGUGGGACAUAGCAGCACAGCUUCCUUCAGCGUCACGUGUAGUGACCUCAGAGAGAAGCCAAUCUCCAGCAUCUACGCUUUCAUUCAGAAGGAAAGAACAGGAACGCUUGGGCCAAACGGGCGGUGGGCACUGCCUCCUGCCAAACAUCAGUUACCCUCUCGAAGCACUUGGGAAAGGAGCUGGGCCGUGGACGGGUGACAGGGACAGCUGACUUGGGACCAGGCUCCCACACUGGACAGGCUUGAGGGGAGCUGCCUCCUCCUAGUGGGUUGCUGUUGGCUCAGCUGCUCACACCCGAUGCUCCACUUUCUCGACGACCACCCACCUCUACAAUCCAAUUCAAUGGCCUCCAGACACCUGCACGCUGCCAGCACGAGGUACUGGGGAGACUCAGCUGAGAAAUAUUCCACCGGCAGUGACUGAGGAGGGAGCCCCGGCUGCUGGGGAGCAGGAGGCUCUGAAAAUACCAACAUGAGAAACGACAUACAGACCUGAAUUUUCUCCGUUUUCUGUGUGUGUGGUGCUUAACAGUUUCUAUUUUUGUGAUGGGCUUAAAGAGUAAAGAAGAACUUAAAAAAAAAAAAAAAAGAA
Molecule: long non-coding RNA, 3501 nt
Organism: Peromyscus californicus insignis
Lineage: Eukaryota; Metazoa; Chordata; Mammalia; Rodentia; Cricetidae
Exons: 2
Source: RefSeq, a predicted model, not a curated record